GCGUCCCUCAUAAGUCAGGAGCCUCCGUCCUUUGUUAGUCUUGUAUGCUUUUUAAUUCUAGUUCAUUCUCAGUCUUUUGGAGUUUAGUAUGACGUCCAUUUUUACUGAACUAGAGUAUAGUACAUUUGGUUUAGGUGCCAAAUGAAGCCUACCUCCGUGUUCGGGAUCUUUUCGCUAUGCUGAAGACCUUUUGGUGACCUUCGGCUGUUUUAUGCUCUUUGGUUGUACGCUGUCGUUUUGAUUCAUUGCCCAUUACCAUUUUUAGCUCACCUGGCCUAAAAGGCCAUGUGAGCUUUUCUCAUCACUUGGCGUCCGUCGUCGUCGUCGUCGUCUGUCGUCGUUAACAAUUUUUCAAACAUCUUCUCCUCUGAAACUACUGAAUGGAUUUGAAUGAAACUUAAAAUGACUGUUCCUUAGAUUAUCCUGCACAAAGUGUGUGCUUCGAUUUUUGAUCCGUCAAAAAACAUGGCCGCCGUUACUUAAAAUAGAACAUAGGGGUCAAAUGCAGUUUUUGGCUUAUAUCUCAAAAACGGAAGCAUUUAGAGCAAAUCUGACGGGGUAAAAAUGUUCAUUAGGUCAAGAUCUAUCAGCCCAGAAAUUUUCAGAUGAAUCAAACAAACCAUUGUUGGGUUGCUGCCACUUAAUUGGUAAUUUUAAGGAAAUUUUGCAGUUUUUGGUCAUUAUCU
RNAcentral lists this long non-coding RNA (686 nucleotides) under Mytilus galloprovincialis (Mediterranean mussel). The record is from RNAcentral. Lineage: Eukaryota; Metazoa; Mollusca; Bivalvia; Mytilida; Mytilidae.